Molecule: ribosomal RNA, 464 nt
Filed under: uncultured bacterium
Lineage: Bacteria
Description: partial 16S ribosomal RNA
Rfam family: Bacterial small subunit ribosomal RNA
Source: RNAcentral
GACGAACGCUGGCGGCGUGCUUAACACAUGCAAGUCGAACGGUGAACUCCGCUUGCGGGGGGAUCAGUGGCGAACGGGUGAGUAACACGUGGGCAACCUGCCCUCAGCUCUGGGAUAACUCCAAGAAAUUGGGGCUAAUACCGGAUAUGACCGCUGACCGCAUGGUCUGGUGGUGGAAAGAUUUAUCGGCUGGGGAUGGGCCCGCGGCCUAUCAGCUUGUUGGUGGGGUAGUGGCCUACCAAGGCGACGACGGGUAGCCGGCCUGAGAGGGUGACCGGCCACACUGGGACUGAGACACGGCCCAGACUCCUACGGGGGCAGCAGUGGGGAAUAUUGCGCAAUGGGCGAAAGCCUGACGCAGCGACGCCGCGUGGGGGAUGACGGCCUUCGGGUUGUAAACCUCUUUCAGCAGGGACGAAGCGAAAGUGACGGUACCUGCAGAAGAAGCACCGGCCAACUACGUG